AUUGAACGCUGGCGGCAGGCCUAACACAUGCAAGUCGAGCGAGAAAGGCCCUUCGGGGCUGAGUAGAGCGGCGGACGGGUGAGUAACGCGUAGGAAUCUACCCAGUGGUGGGGGACAACUUGGGGAAACUCAAGCUAAUACCGCAUACGCCCUACGGGGGAAAGCGGGGGACCUUCGGGCCUCGCGCCAUUGGAUGAGCCUGCGUUGGAUUAGCUAGUUGGUGGGGUAAAGGCCCACCAAGGCGACGAUCCAUAGCUGGUCUGAGAGGAUGAUCAGCCACACUGGGACUGAGACACGGCCCAGACUCCUACGGGAGGCAGCAGUGGGGAAUAUUGCGCAAUGGGGGCAACCCUGACGCAGCCAUGCCGCGUGUGUGAAGAAGGCCUUCGGGUUGUAAAGCACUUUCACUUGGGAAGAAAAGCUGACGGUUAAUACCCGUGAGCCGUGACAUUACCUUGAGAAGAAGCACCGGCUAACUCCGUGCCAGCAGCCGCGGUAAUACGGAGGGUGCGAGCGUUAAUCGGAAUUACUGGGCGUAAAGCGCGCGUAGGUGGUUUGUUAAGUCGGAUGUGAAAGCCCCGGGCUCAACCUGGGAACUGCACCCGAUACUGGCCGACUAGAGUGCGGGAGAGGGAGGUAGAAUUCCACGUGUAGCGGUGAAAUGCGU
Molecule: ribosomal RNA, 667 nt
Filed under: uncultured bacterium
Lineage: Bacteria
Description: bacterial SSU rRNA
Rfam family: Bacterial small subunit ribosomal RNA
Source: RNAcentral